RNAcentral lists this ribosomal RNA (253 nucleotides) under uncultured bacterium. RNAcentral describes it as "partial 16S ribosomal RNA". It matches the Rfam family "Bacterial small subunit ribosomal RNA", at positions 524 to 776 of the family's 1533-position model. The record is from RNAcentral.
UACAGAGGUCUCAAGCGUUGUUCGGAUUCACUGGGCGUAAAGGGUGCGCAGGCGGCCAAGUGUGUCAGAUGUGAAAUCCCGAGGCUCAACCUCGGAACUGCGUCUGAAACUACUUGGCUAGAGUACUGGAGAGGGUAACGGAAUUCACGGUGUAGCAGUGAAAUGCGUAGAUAUCGUGAGGAACACCAGAGGCGAAGGCGGUUACCUGGACAGUUACUGACGCUCAGGCACGAAAGCGUGGGGAGCAAAAGGG